AGCUCCAAUAGCGUAUAUUAAUGUUGUUGCAGUUAAAAAGCUCGUAGUUGGAUUUCUGGCGGGAGCGGCCUGUCCGACCCUCACGGGUCGUGUACGGUGUCGUCUCUGGCCAUCCUCUCGGAGAGCGGCCCGCGCAUUAAGUUGUGCGGGUCGGGAUCCGGGUCGUUUACUGUGAAAAAAUUAGAGUGUUUAAAGCAGGCGUAAGCCGUGAAUACAUUAGCAUGGAAUAAUAAGAUAGGACUUUGGUGCUAUUUUGUUGGUUUGCACACCGAGGUAAUGAUUAACAGGAACGGUUGGGGGUAUUGCUAUUCACAUGUCAGAGGUGAAAUUCUUGGAUUUUGGGAAGAGCAACAUCGGCGAAAGCAUUUACCAAGGAUGUUUUCA
RNAcentral lists this ribosomal RNA (384 nucleotides) under uncultured eukaryote. Its description in RNAcentral is "SSU rRNA". It matches the Rfam family "Eukaryotic small subunit ribosomal RNA", at positions 587 to 972 of the family's 1831-position model. The record is from RNAcentral.